This 253-nucleotide ribosomal RNA is filed under the name uncultured bacterium. RNAcentral's name for it is "partial 16S ribosomal RNA". It matches the Rfam family "Bacterial small subunit ribosomal RNA", at positions 524 to 776 of the family's 1533-position model. The record is from RNAcentral.
UACGUAGGUGGCAAGCGUUGUCCGGAAUUAUUGGGCGUAAAGCGCGCGCAGGUGGUUCCUUAAGUCUGAUGUGAAAGCCCACGGCUCAACCGUGGAGGGUCAUUGGAAACUGGGGAACUUGAGUGCAGAAGAGGAAAGUGGAAUUCCAAGUGUAGCGGUGAAAUGCGUAGAGAUUUGGAGGAACACCAGUGGCGAAGGCGACUUUCUGGUCUGUAACUGACACUGAGGCGCGAAAGCUAGGGGAGCAAACGGG